This 253-nucleotide ribosomal RNA is filed under the name uncultured bacterium. RNAcentral describes it as "partial 16S ribosomal RNA". It matches the Rfam family "Bacterial small subunit ribosomal RNA", at positions 524 to 776 of the family's 1533-position model. The record is from RNAcentral.
UACGAAGGGGGCUAGCGUUGUUCGGAUUUACUGGGCGUAAAGCGCACGUAGGCGGAUCGAUCAGUCGGGGGUGAAAUCCCAGAGCUCAACUCUGGAACUGCCUUUGAUACUGCGGUGCUUGAGGACUGGAGAGGAGACUGGAAUUUACGGUGUAGCAGUGAAAUGCGUAGAGAUCGUAAGGAAGACCAGUGGCGAAGGCGGGUCUCUGGACAGUUCCUGACACUGAGGCACGAAGGCCAGGGGAGCAAACGGG